Tetraodon nigroviridis (spotted green pufferfish) is the source of this 72-nucleotide non-coding RNA. Lineage: Eukaryota; Metazoa; Chordata; Actinopteri; Tetraodontiformes; Tetraodontidae. The record is from Rfam.
GGCUCAUUGGUCUAGGGGUAUGAUUCUCGCUUAGGGUGCGAUAGGUCCUGGGUUCAAAUCCCGGAUGAGCCC